Molecule: ribosomal RNA, 525 nt
Filed under: Triticum aestivum (bread wheat)
Lineage: Eukaryota; Viridiplantae; Streptophyta; Magnoliopsida; Poales; Poaceae
Description: partial small subunit ribosomal RNA
Source: RNAcentral
AUGGCGGGAAAGGGGAGCAAGAAGGACAUCGAAUCCGUCCUCAUGCAGGCCAUGCUGGCCGCCAAGACGGUGCGGGCGCAGCGCGACCGCCUCCUGCAGCUCCAGCAGCGCCUGCAGGACCUCCAGGCCGACGCCACCCCCGCCGUCGUUGAGGCGGACGCGGACGCGGACGCCAAGCUCAGGGAGCUCGCCUCCAACCUCUUCAAGGUCUACUACAUCGGCCUGGAGGCCGGCGCCCGCAUCCUCACGACCUGCGUCCACCUCGCCGCGGAGAAGGGCAUUCGCUUCUCCCCGCCCAACCUGGCUUUCGCAGUCAUGCCGGACGAGCAGCUCCACGACGCGCUGCUCGCGCAGCAGUUCCCGGCCCGCCCCAGGAUCGCGGGCCUCGCCGUGAAGCACAUCGACGUCGCCGUCGCGGUCGCCGUCCUCUCCCGCUUCAUGGACCCCAAGAAGCUCGCCAGCCUCGCCGAGUUCUGCGACGACCACGCCUACAUCUCCGAGGAGGGUUUCUAUGAUUCUAUCUAG